RNAcentral lists this non-coding RNA (827 nucleotides) under Pongo abelii (Sumatran orangutan). Lineage: Eukaryota; Metazoa; Chordata; Mammalia; Primates; Hominidae. The record is from RNAcentral.
CCCCUUGAGGUUAUGAGUGCCCAUAGGGAAGAUGUUGCCACUGUCCGCAGUUGGGAGAAGAAGAACCUGGCACAUGAGGAAGCCAAGUAAUUGGAUCAGCCCCCUCCAUCAUGGCAUUUCCCACACUUCUGAUUGGACUGGAAACUCCCUGAAAGGAGGAAGCAAGUCAGAUUCACCUCCAGGUCCCUCCCAGGCCUGGAGAAGCUGGCAUGCUGUUGGCACUCACUGACUGCCUGGUGGCCGACUGGCUGGAUGGAAUGGUGACCUGUGACCAGUCUGUCUCUCUCCUCAGCUGACCUGAGAGUUCCUGGAGGCCAGGGACUGUGUUUGCCUCACCUCGGCACCUCUGUGCCUGGGGCGAACUGCUCAACAAGUUCUGGUUGAACGAAUGGAGGGAACACUAAGAGCGAAUAAUUAUUGAGCGCUUACUGUGUGCGAGCAGCUGCUGUAAGCAAUGGACACUUUUUAUCUCAGUGAACCCUGCAGAGGGUUCCAAUGAGGGAAUGGAGCAGACCUGAUCUAACCAAGCUGGGGGUAGGGAGGUGCCUGGUGGCAGGUACCAGCAGACAUGACAGGGACUCCCGCACAUGGCACCACAGCAAUGCUGUCAAGGUUGCCCGUGGAAUCUGAAAGCUGAAACACUCGUCUUUACAUACAGAGUUGGCCAAAGCGAGACACCAGCAAAUCAGUUCACCCAAAAAUGUGCAAACAAGAUUUCCCAUGCCUGUCUGCAGUUUUUCUCUCCCCUCUCUCUUAUAUAACUCUUGUUGAAAUCAGUCUAUAGAUACAUGUUCCUUGUACAGAAAUAAACAGAGAGCUAAUAAUUA